GAUGAAGAACGCAGCGAAAUGCGAUACUUGGUGUGAAUUGCAGAAUCCCGUGAACCAUCGAGUCUUUGAACGCAAGUUGCGCCCGAAGCCACUAGGCCGAGGGCACGCCUGCCUGGGCGGCACACGCCGUUGCCCCCCCAUCUACUCCUUCGGGAUUGCGGGGGGGCGGAUGAUGGCCUCCCGUGCGCCUAGCCGCGCGGUUGGCAUAAAUACCAAGUCCUCGGCGACGCACGCCACGACAAUCGGUGGUUGCGAAACCUCGGUUGCCCGUCGUGUGCGUUCGUCGCGCAUCGAGGGCUCGAAAAAAUGCUCGGCUCCGGCUGGGCUUUCAACGCGACCCCAGGUCAGGCGGGGUUACCCGCUGAAUUUAAGCAUAUCAAUAAGCGGAGGA
Molecule: unclassified non-coding RNA, 391 nt
Filed under: soil metagenome
Description: partial contains 5.8S ribosomal RNA, internal transcribed spacer 2, and large subunit ribosomal RNA
Rfam family: 5.8S ribosomal RNA (bases 1-122)
Source: RNAcentral